AUUACACCCAAAAAAAAACAUAUACAAAACUCGGGCAGGCCUAUUAUAUAUAUUAUUAUAGGCCUUUCCCACAUACACACAGCAAACUUUUAUACUCGAAGUUUGCAGUAAAGAAAAGGCCGAUCGACGUUAUAUAACGCACCGCGCGCCUAUACACACAAAAGCAAAAACGUCCGUUUAUACAAAUAUACGGCGUUUCCGUCUUUUGUUGGCGGGGGCGGGGGUGCGUGUGUGUGGAUAACGGCUCACAUAACGUGUCGCGAUGGAUGACUUGGCUUCCUAUUUCGUUGAAGAACGCAGUA
RNAcentral lists this unclassified non-coding RNA (302 nucleotides) under Leishmania aethiopica. Its description in RNAcentral is "sequence contains 18S rRNA gene, ITS1 and 5.8S rRNA gene". Lineage: Eukaryota; Euglenozoa; Kinetoplastea; Trypanosomatida; Trypanosomatidae. The record is from RNAcentral.